AUUGCAAUUCCUCAAAAUCCCUAUUAGGGAUUGAAAC
This is a non-coding RNA of Cylindrospermum stagnale PCC 7417, 37 nucleotides long. The record is from Rfam. NCBI's taxonomy places the organism in Bacteria, Bacillati, Cyanobacteriota, Cyanophyceae, Nostocales, Nostocaceae.